Molecule: ribosomal RNA, 492 nt
Filed under: uncultured bacterium
Lineage: Bacteria
Description: partial 16S ribosomal RNA
Rfam family: Bacterial small subunit ribosomal RNA
Source: RNAcentral
AGUGAACGCUGGCGGUAGGCCUAACACAUGCAAGUCGAACGGCAGCCCAGUAAGAGCUUGCUCUUAUGGGUGGCGAGUGGCGGACGGGUGAGGAAUACAUCGGAAUCUACUUUUUCGUGGGGGAUAACGUGGGGAAACUUACGCUAAUACCGCAUAAGACCUCCGGGUGCCAGCACGGGAUCUUCGGCCCUUGCGCGAAUGCAUGAGCCGAUGUCGGAUUAGCUAGUUGGCGGGGUAAAGGCCCACCAAGGCGACGAGCCGUAGCGGGUCAGAUAGGAGAAGCACCCAAACUGGAACGGGAGCGCGGCCCAGAAUCCUGCGAGAGGGAGCAGGCGGGAAUAUUGGACGAAGGGCGCAAGGCUGAACCAGGCAUACCGCGUGGGAGAAGAAGGCCUUGGGGUUGUGAAGCCCUUGUGUUAGUAAGGAAAGGCAGCAGGUUAAUACCCCGCUGAUCCGGCGGUACCCAAAGAAUAAGCACCGGCUAACUUCGUG